AUCAGGGGUAAACCUGUGGAACUCGAACGAGCGAACGGGGAGAUUCAUCGUUCUCCGCGGGUCCGCGGGRCGCGCUGUACGCGUGCGGUGCUCGUCCUGUGACUCGCGGAGUGCGUGCACUCCUCCCUCAGUAAAACACCGCGACCCGUUGCUGGGUCGAACGCGCCGUGCGGUCGUCCCGCUCCGCGGAGAGGAACCGCGGUGUCGCGGCUCAAAUGCGACGGUAAAGAACGAGGUUUGCGUCCGCCGGCGUCCGCGGUGCGGCGGUGGCUGUCCUCGCUCUGUCGGCGCGCGUCGGCAGUCGAGGAGAGUCGCGUCUGCUGUGCCGGCUCGGACGGGACGCGUCCCGGUCUGCGGUGGUUUGUUUCGGGCACUCACAGGACCCGUCUUGA
RNAcentral lists this ribosomal RNA (392 nucleotides) under Hydropsyche instabilis. Its description in RNAcentral is "partial 28S ribosomal RNA". The record is from RNAcentral. Lineage: Eukaryota; Metazoa; Arthropoda; Insecta; Trichoptera; Hydropsychidae.